RNAcentral lists this ribosomal RNA (506 nucleotides) under uncultured bacterium. RNAcentral's name for it is "partial 16S ribosomal RNA". It matches the Rfam family "Bacterial small subunit ribosomal RNA", at positions 28 to 523 of the family's 1533-position model. The record is from RNAcentral.
GAUGAACGUUAGCUACAGGCUUAACACAUGCAAGUCGAGGGGUAACGAGAGGAAAGCUUGCUUUCCUUGUCGACGACCGGCGCACGGGUGAGUAACGCGUAUCCAACCUGCCCCCAACUAGGGAAUAACCUUGCGAAAGUAAGACUAAUACCCUAUAAUUUCCUCAGAUGCCAUCUGACGAGGAAUAAAGAUUUAUCGGUUGUGGAUGGGGACGCGUCUGAUUAGCUUGUUGGCGGGGUAACGGCCCACCAAGGCAACGAUCAGUAGGGGUUCUGAGAGGAAGGUCCCCCACAUUGGAACUGAGACACGGUCCAAACUCCUACGGGAGGCAGCAGUGAGGAAUAUUGGUCAAUGGGCGGAAGCCUGAACCAGCCAAGUAGCGUGCAGGAUGACGGCCCUAUGGGUUGUAAACUGCUUUUAUACAGGAAUAAAGUUAGCCACGUGUGGUUAUUUGUAGGUACUGUAUGAAUAAGGACCGGCUAAUUCCGUGCCAGCAGCCGCCGUAA